This 468-nucleotide ribosomal RNA is filed under the name uncultured bacterium. Its description in RNAcentral is "partial 16S ribosomal RNA". It matches the Rfam family "Bacterial small subunit ribosomal RNA", at positions 28 to 507 of the family's 1533-position model. The record is from RNAcentral.
GACGAACGCUGGCGGCGUGCUUAACACAUGCAAGUCGAACGGAAAGGCCCUGCUUUUGUGGGGUGCUCGAGUGGCGAACGGGUGAGUAACACGUGAGUAACCUGCCCUUGACUUUGGGAUAACUUCAGGAAACUGGGGCUAAUACCGGAUAGGAGCUCCUGCUGCAUGGUGGGGGUUGGAAAGUUUCGGCGGUUGGGGAUGGACUCGCGGCUUAUCAGCUUGUUGGUGGGGUAGUGGCUUACCAAGGCUUUGGCGGGUAGCCGGCCUGAGAGGGUGACCGGCCACCUUGGGACUGAGAUACGGCCCAGACUCCAACGGGAGGCAGCAGUGGGGAAUAUUGCACAAUGGGCGGAAGCCUGAUGCAGCAACGCCGCGUGCGUGAUGACGGCCUUCGGGUUGUAAACCGCUUUCGCCUGUGACGAAGCGUGAGUGACGGUAAUGGGUAAAGAAGCACCGGCUAACUACGUG